RNAcentral lists this ribosomal RNA (252 nucleotides) under uncultured bacterium. RNAcentral's name for it is "partial 16S ribosomal RNA". It matches the Rfam family "Bacterial small subunit ribosomal RNA", at positions 78 to 334 of the family's 1533-position model. The record is from RNAcentral.
CUUUUGCUGGCGACCGGCGCACGGGUGAGUAACACGUAUCCAACCUGCCCUUUACUCGGGGAUAGCCUUUCGAAAGAAAGAUUAAUACCCGAUGGCAUAAUGAUUCCGCAUGUUCACAUAAUUAAAGGUAUUCCGGUAGACGAUGGGGAUGCGUUCCAUUAGAUAGUAGGCGGGGUAACGGCCCACCUAGUCUUCGAUGGAUAGGGGUUCUGAGAGGAAGGUCCCCCACAUUGGAACUGAGACACGGUCCAA